Molecule: unclassified non-coding RNA, 339 nt
Filed under: soil metagenome
Description: partial contains 5.8S ribosomal RNA, internal transcribed spacer 2, and large subunit ribosomal RNA
Rfam family: 5.8S ribosomal RNA (bases 1-120)
Source: RNAcentral
GAUGAAGAACGUAGCGAAAUGCGAUAACUAAUGUGAAUUGCAGAAUUCAGUGAAUCAUCGAGUCUUUGAACGCACAUUGCGCCCCCUGGUAUUCCGGGGGGCAUGCCUGUCCGAGCGUCAUUGCUGCCCUCAAGCACGGCUUGUGUGUUGGGCUCCGUCCCCCCGGGGACGGGCCCGAAAGGCAGCGGCGGCACCGAGUCCGGUCCUCGAGCGUAUGGGGCUUUGUCACCCGCUCUGUAGGCCCGGCCGGCGCCAGCCGACAACCCAUCGUCCUUUUCAGGUUGACCUCGGAUCAGGUAGGGAUACCCGCUGAACUUAAGCAUAUCAAUAAGCGGAGGA